CCUUUUGUAUAAUGGGUCAGCGACUUAUAUUCUGUAGCAAGGUUAACCGAAUAGGGGAGCCGAAGGGAAACCGAGUCUUAACUGGGCGUUAAGUUGCAGGGUAUAGACCCGAAACCCGGUGAUCUAGCCAUGGGCAGGUUGAAGGUUGGGUAACACUAACUGGAGGACCGAACCGACUAAUGUUGAAAAAUUAGCGGAUGACUUGUGGCUGGGGGUGAAAGGCCAAUCAAACCGGGAGAUAGCUGGUUCUCCCCGAAAGCUAUUUAGGUAGCGCCUCGUGAAUUCAUCUCCGGGGGUAGAGCACUGUUUCGGCAAGGGGGUCAUCCCGACUUACCAACCCGAUGCAAACUGCGAAUACCGGAGAAUGUUAUCACGGGAGACACACGGCGGGUGCUAACGUCCGUCGUGAAGAGGGAAACAACCCAGACCGCCAGCUAAGGUCCCAAAGUCAUGGUUAAGUGGGAAACGAUGUGGGAAGGCCCAGACAGCCAGGAUGUUGGCUUAGAAGCAGCCAUCAUUUAAAGAAAGCGUAAUAGCUCACUGGUCGAGUCGGCCUGCGCGGAAGAUGUAACGGGGCUAAACCAUGCACCGAAGCUGCGGCAGCGACACUAUGUGUUGUUGGGUAGGGGAGCGUUCUGUAAGCCUGU
RNAcentral lists this ribosomal RNA (647 nucleotides) under Escherichia coli. Its description in RNAcentral is "partial 23S ribosomal RNA". It matches the Rfam family "Bacterial large subunit ribosomal RNA", at positions 604 to 1252 of the family's 2925-position model. Lineage: Bacteria; Pseudomonadati; Pseudomonadota; Gammaproteobacteria; Enterobacterales; Enterobacteriaceae. The record is from RNAcentral.